CCUACGGGAGGCAGCAGUGGGGAAUAUUGCACAAUGGGGGAAACCCUGAUGCAGCGACGCCGCGUGAGUGAAGUAGUAAUUCGUUAUGUAAAGCUCUAUCAGCAGGGAAGAAAAUGACGGUACCUGAGUAAGAAGCCCCGGCUAACUACGUGCCAGCAGCCGCGGUAAUACGUAGGGGGCAAGCGUUAUCCGGAUGUACUGGGUGUAACGGGAGCGUAGACGGCAGUGCAAGUCUGGAGUGAAAGGCGGGGGCUCAACCCCCGGACUGCUCUGGAAACUGUACGGCUGGAGUGCAGGAGAGGUAAGUGGAAUUCCUAGUGUAGCGGUGAAAUGCGUAGAUAUUAGGAGGAACACCAGUGGCGAAGGCGGCUUACUGGACUGUAACUAACGUUGAGGCUCGAAAGCGUGGGGAGCAAACAGGAUUAGAUACCCCUGUAGUC
This 440-nucleotide ribosomal RNA is filed under the name uncultured bacterium. RNAcentral's name for it is "partial 16S ribosomal RNA". It matches the Rfam family "Bacterial small subunit ribosomal RNA", at positions 338 to 795 of the family's 1533-position model. The record is from RNAcentral.